UCCAGUCAUUCGAUUCUCAUAGGUUCUGCC
This 30-nucleotide non-coding RNA is filed under the name Rattus norvegicus (Norway rat). The record is from RNAcentral. Lineage: Eukaryota; Metazoa; Chordata; Mammalia; Rodentia; Muridae.